This 371-nucleotide ribosomal RNA is filed under the name Thalamita prymna. RNAcentral's name for it is "partial 16S ribosomal RNA". It matches the Rfam family "Archaeal large subunit ribosomal RNA", at positions 2034 to 2596 of the family's 2987-position model. The record is from RNAcentral. Lineage: Eukaryota; Metazoa; Arthropoda; Malacostraca; Decapoda; Portunidae.
UAGCAUAAUCAUUAGUUUUUUAAUUGGAAACUUGUAUGAAUGGUUGGACAAAGAAGAAGCUGUCUCUUGUUAUUAAUAUUGAACUUAACUUUUAAGUGAAAAGGCUUAAAUAUUCUAGAGGGACGAUAAGACCCUAUAAAGCUUUAUAAACUUAUAAAUUUUAUAUGUUUUUUUAUAAAAAUAAUCUUUCGAAGGUUUAUUUAGUUGGGGCGACAAUGAUAUAAAUAAUAUAACUGUCAUAAAAUAUAACAAAUAUAUUUGUUUAAUAAGGAAUAAUUGAUCCUUUAUAAGGAUUUUAAGAUCAAGUUACUUUAGGGAUAACAGCGUUAUUUUUCUUGAGAGUUCUUAUCAAAGGAAAAGUUUGCGACCAC